This 226-nucleotide long non-coding RNA is filed under the name Chinchilla lanigera (long-tailed chinchilla). RNAcentral's name for it is "lncRNA (ENSCLAG00000028540.1)". Lineage: Eukaryota; Metazoa; Chordata; Mammalia; Rodentia; Chinchillidae. The record is from RNAcentral.
UGUUCUCUUUCGUACAGCAGCAGACUUCAUUCCAUCUUUCUAUUAGCUAGACGGAAAGCCUUCAGCAAACUAAUUUUGGCUCUGGGUCACUCUCAGAAAACCAACAAGGAGUUGCCCUGAUUUGAUCCACUCAGCAAGCCGGCACAGACUGGCCUCCAUCGCCUUCUGUCAGUGGAGGAUCAGCCAGGACAGAAAAACUCUAUGACUACUAUGGAGAACAUUUUAU